UACGAGUGGUGCAAACGUUAUUCGGAAUCACUGGGCUUAAAGGGUGCGUAGGCGGCUACACAAGUCAGGUGUGAAAUCCCUCGGCUCAACCGAGGAACUGCGCUUGAAACUGUGUGGCUCGAGGGAGACAGAGGUGAGCGGAACUGAUGGUGGAGCGGUGAAAUGCGUUGAUAUCAUCAGGAACACCGGUGGCGAAAGCGGCUCACUGGGUCUUUUCUGACGCUGAGGCACGAAAGCUAGGGGAGCAAACGGG
RNAcentral lists this ribosomal RNA (253 nucleotides) under uncultured bacterium. Its description in RNAcentral is "partial 16S ribosomal RNA". It matches the Rfam family "Bacterial small subunit ribosomal RNA", at positions 524 to 776 of the family's 1533-position model. RNAcentral also lists the same sequence under 1 other name. The record is from RNAcentral.